Podarcis muralis (Common wall lizard) is the source of this 687-nucleotide non-coding RNA. Lineage: Eukaryota; Metazoa; Chordata; Lepidosauria; Squamata; Lacertidae. The record is from RefSeq and is a predicted model, not a curated record.
UUGCAUGCAUCUUUGUAAUGCAAGGUUGGUCUGCCAAUUGACCUGGUGCCUUAAGCCACAUCCUCAGGACCUCUGAAUAUCAUCUGGAAAAGUGGGCAGGUUCAUAUGGGAACAAAGGGUGGUAUUCACCUAACCAGCCCUGUCAGUGGAAGCCUUUGCAAUGACUUCUGCUUGCACUAAGGAGUUUCCUCCAUCUCUGAACUCCAUGCCUCCAGAAUUGACUUGGGAGGGUUCUGGAAAACCUCCAUAACAGAGUGUUUUGGGGGAGGCAAGGGGGAAUUGUUGCAUCUGGCAAUGCUUGCAUAGAUGGAAGCAUUAGUAGAGCAUAAUGUUGAAUUCCACCUAGUCCUUUUUGCAGUGAAUAUGAAUUCAUUUCCUACUGUAACUAUCCAAAACGUUGUGAUUCUAACAAUCUCAUAUCUACUUCAGUAAUUAUGACUUGAUUUUGAAAUCCAGUUUCUUGUUGUAUAUAAUGGUUUUUCCUGUAACACAGGUGAUGGAAUAUUUCACAGUGAUGGAAUAUUAAGUAAUGAAAGCUUUCUAGGAUGAAGAAUAUCAGGGACAUCGCUCCUCUAAACCUCUACUUGAUGCAGUUGAAAUUGGAUGCCUUGCCUGUCAACAGAAAUGUAGUCCGUUAAUAGUGUUGAAUUUAUUUGUUUUAAUUAAAUGACUAUUAAAAUCAUGAAA